Molecule: transfer RNA, 74 nt
Filed under: Thiobacillus sp.
Lineage: Bacteria; Pseudomonadati; Pseudomonadota; Betaproteobacteria; Nitrosomonadales; Thiobacillaceae
Also listed under: 34 other names
Description: tRNA-Gly
Rfam family: tRNA
About the family: Transfer RNA (tRNA) molecules are approximately 80 nucleotides in length. Their secondary structure includes four short double-helical elements and three loops (D, anti-codon, and T loops).
Source: RNAcentral
GCGGGAGUAGUUCAAUGGUAGAACUCCAGCCUUCCAAGCUGAUCACGCGGGUUCGAUUCCCGUCUCCCGCUCCA